AGUGAACGCUGGCGGUAGGCCUAACACAUGCAAGUCGAACGGCAGCACAGUAAGAGCUUGCUCUUACGGGUGGCGAGUGGCGGACGGGUGAGGAAUACAUCGGAAUCUACUUUUUCGUGGGGGAUAACGUAGGGAAACUUACGCUAAUACCGCAUACGACCUACGGGUGAAAGCAGGGGAUCUUCGGACCUUGCGCGAUUGAAUGAGCCGAUGUCGGAUUAGCUAGUUGGCGGGGUAAAGGCCCACCAAGGCGACGAUCCGUAGCUGGUCUGAGAGGAUGAUCAGCCACACUGGAACUUAGACACGGUCCAGACUCCUACGGGAGGCAGCAGUGGGGAAUAUUGGACAAUGGGCGCAAGCCUUAUCCAACCAUACCGCGUGUGUGAAGAAGGCCUUCGGUUUGUAAAGCCCUUUUGUUGGGAAAGAAAAGCAGCAGGUUAAUACCCCGCUGUUCUGACGGUACCCAAAGAAUAAGCACCGGCUAACUUCGUG
This 492-nucleotide ribosomal RNA is filed under the name uncultured bacterium. Its description in RNAcentral is "partial 16S ribosomal RNA". It matches the Rfam family "Bacterial small subunit ribosomal RNA", at positions 29 to 507 of the family's 1533-position model. The record is from RNAcentral.